CAACCCUCAAGCCCCCGUUGCUUGGUGUUGGGAGCCUACGGGGUCACCCGUAGCUCCUCAAAGUUAGUGGCGGAGUCGGUUCACACUCUAGACGUAGUAGAUUUUCACCUCGCCUGUAGUGCUGGACCGGUCCCCUGCCGUAAAAACACCCCUAUUUCUAAAA
RNAcentral lists this unclassified non-coding RNA (163 nucleotides) under uncultured Nemania. RNAcentral describes it as "sequence contains ITS2". The record is from RNAcentral. Lineage: Eukaryota; Fungi; Ascomycota; Sordariomycetes; Xylariales; Xylariaceae.